Molecule: long non-coding RNA, 4776 nt
Filed under: Homo sapiens (human)
Lineage: Eukaryota; Metazoa; Chordata; Mammalia; Primates; Hominidae
Description: non-protein coding lnc-MEX3B-4:4
Source: RNAcentral
UUUGCUAAUGAGCUCUGUUUUCAUCUGUAUGGAUUUGUGGUGCCUGUCACUAUACUAGUCUAGAGCUUGGAAAAAAGAUUGGGUUUGAUUUGUAGCUUGGGAAGCAUCAACCAAAAUGCACGUGACGUGCUUAACACAGUGACUGGCAGAAUGUGCACACUCAAUAAUUACCAGCUGUUGUUACUUAGAGGCAAUGCCUCGCCCUGCUUCGGCUCGCGCACGGUGCGCGCACCCACUGACCUGCGCCCACUGUCUGGCACUCCCUAGUGAGAUGAACCCGGUACCUCAGAUGGAAAUGCAGAAAUCACCCGUCUUCUGCGUCGCUCACGCUGGGAGCUGUAGACCGGAGCUGUUCCUAUUCGGCCAUCUUGGCUCCUCCUCGAAAUGGUUCAUCUUCCACUUAAGAGACAAUCAGCAGGAUCGCAUUCAACCUCCUGUCUUUUCCCUCCACAUUUACCCUGGCCUUCUAUCUUAGUUACAAGGGCAUCUUCUCUUUCUUUCCGUCUGUGAUUUAUACACGUGCUACUUCUAUUUUGCCAGGGACCUCAUUCCCUUCCCUGUUUCUGACCGUUAAUUUCUCCCUACCUACUAUCCUCUUCUCUGUGGCCCAUGAUCAUGUACAAGUCUCUCUCAUCCGAAAAGAAAUGAAAACAGCAAUCACCUUUGGAUAACCCUGGAUCUGCCACUGACACAUCUGCAUUUCACAAUUUUUACCUGCUUGAAAGUGUGGAUCACACCCCCUCUUCAUUUUCUCAUUUCCAAAUUUCUCAUUUGUCUCUGAGUCCACUGAAAUCUGUCUGCUCCCACCACCCACUAAAGCUAUUACUGCCAAGGUCAUCAGUGUCAUUACUGUGCUAAAGUUAUGAGCAAUUUCAGCCCUCUUGGCAGUAUUUGGCUCGUGUGAUUGCUCUCUACUUAAAACUCUAUUUUUCCAUGGCUGUCACAACACUAAGUGUUGUUUAAAGUGAGUGAGAGAGAGAGAAGUUUAAUUUUUCACCAAGUCCACUGUCCAUAAAUAAGACAUACCCCCUACCCCGACUCAGCUCCUUCAAAACCCAGAUCCAGACCCCUGUCCUCCCCAGUCCCAUCUGUUGUCUUGGUUACCUCCUUGCCUUUGGGCUCCUCAUCCGCUCAGUUCUUACAACCCACUUUUUCAUGCACUGCCCCUUUGUGGCUCUGUUUUCACAUGUGUGCAUUUGAUGACUGCAGGUUUCUUAGAGUAAAAAUCGUAUGCUCUGUUUCAUUGAUUCCUUUCUUCUUUCUACCACCCUAUAUCAUCUGGAUAUUCCAACCCAGUUGGAGGCCCAUUGUUCCCCCAACAAAACCUUGAUUCUGCUGCAUCUAUGCCUUUGCUCUCCCAUCCAUCUCUGCUUCUUUCUGUGCUCAGCACGAACUCUACCUUCUCUGGGAAACAUUGCCUUUCCCCCUGUCCAGGAGUUAUAUUUUCUCCAAACACUUUGCACUUUAUCUGUUCUCCACUUGUAGCAUGCACAGCUUUUAUUUUCAUAUUCUACUCACACCUGUAGUUCUCCAGGUGGGAAGUCCUGUGAAGGCAGGAACCACUUCUUGUCCAUCCUUGCAAAGCUCCCAAAGUACAGAAGUGUUAGCUUUUAUUACUAUUGUUGUUUUUACAUCUACAAGAAGGAAAGCAUCAUUAAAUCUAUCAGAAGCAAGGUACAGAUUCUCCAUGUGGUUCCUUAGGUGACGACGAAGAGAUUAUACACAGAUUAUCUUCAGGAAUAGAAGUUGAUGAUAAGAUAGAGAAAAUUUCCUCACCAGGAGUCUAUGGACUGCCUCUGUUUGUUCAGGAGUAUGACUGAUAACUUUAGGUUGUAAAGGGUGUGACCCAAGGGUCAAUAACUUUAAGUCUCAAAAUGCCGUUGACACUGUUAACUCCUCCCUGUUUCUUGAAAUCCUCUCUUCUCUUGUUUUCUCUGUGGCACCCUUUGCUCCUGUGUUCCUCCUUUUUCUAUGCAUCCUUAGGGGUUCCCGGGGGUUUUGUUCAUGGUCCUCUUCUUUCUCAAUCUGUUUUCGAGAAACUUGCAAAAGUACAACUCAGCCUAACAUGCCUGUCCAAGUUCCAGACCUGAAGAGCUCCAGCCUCCUCGUGGAUCCCUUUAUCUCAACACGUCUGGAACAGAACUCAUGUGGGUCUCUUUCUGGGCUUCUUAUCUCAGUAAAUUUCACCACCAAAUAUCCAGUUCUGAAGCAAGAAACACUGGGCUUCACUUUUGAUUCCUCCCUCCCUCUCAAUGCCCAAAUCUCAUGGGUCUAAAGUCCCAUCAAUGUUAUCACUUGCAUAUUUUUGAAAUCCACACCAUUGCAACCCAUUUCCAAAGUAGACUACUGAUUGCCAGGGGCUGGGGGCUAGGCGGGGCAGGGGAAAUAGGGAAAUGCUUCCAUUUUCAUUCUCACCAAUGCUGUCCUGGACCACUGCAAAGCCUUCUGACUGGUCUUCAUGCUCUCCUCACCUCCUCUUUCUAAAGCAUCCUGCUUAACAUUGCUAAAAUAAUUUGUCUAAAUGGAAAUUUGACCGUAUUACUCCCUAGCUUAAAAUACUCCGGGGGUUCCGCAUUGUCUCCUCCAUAGCAUGGCCAUAAAGUCCUGCAAGAAUCACAUGCUUUGGCCUUUGUCCUCCUCCAGCGUGUCAUUCCUUGCAGGUGACCCCUUCUGGUCCAGUGGGUCUCCAUCCUGGUGUGUCUCAACCUGUGGAUGAUGCUUGAGCCCUCCUCUCAGAGAUUCUGGUCUGGAAAGGGCCCUAAACGUUGUUGUUGUUGUUGUUGUUUUAAGUUCCCAGAGCUGCUAAUAUGCCUCCAGGGGUAGGCACAACUGUGAACCUAGCCCUACAUGUGAAGGGUUUGCAAGUGCCAGGUCCCGAACCUAUUGAGUAGAAGGAACCAAAGUAAGCAGCAUUGCCUCCGUCAUUUCCCACCCUCUUAUGAUAUUUUAAGGAAAGGGUUUUUCACUCAGCUAUGCAGCAAAUAUUCCUGGAAAUCUUGCCUGGGUCAUAAGGAAAUGAGGGCUCUUGUAUUGCCUAGCUCCCUUCCUUUUGCCUGCUAGAGAGGAGAUAGGGUAGAGGCUUUCACUGCGUAAGUUGAGCAGAUAGUUGUAUGCUCCUUAUGAGCAAUUGGGUGAGGGUGGCAGCGGGUGGAAGAUGACCAUCAAGAAUGGUCUGUCUCCCUUCCAUUGCUUGAAUUCCUAUCUACCUGAUGGUUUGCUACAGCUGCAGUAACAGUAACAAAGACCACAAACUGAGUGGCUUCAACGAGGCCAAAGUAUUAAAGAUGAUACCAGAUUAAGGUGUUAACUUUCCCAAGGAUUUAGUCUCCUAGUAUCUUCCAAUGUCUUAGUCCAAAGAAAUGAAUAAUGAGGGAUAUUCCGGAUACCAUGGGAAGCCUGAUAAGGAGGUAUUUUUAGAUUUUUGUAUCAAUUUAAAGACUACUAGGGGAGUGCCUACAGCUCUGUGAAGAACACGGGUACUGGUGGCUCAUCUCAGCCAGUCCCUGCCCCUCUUCUCCUUCCUUAGUCCUUGGAGGGCCAUUCACUUCAGAGGGCAUGCUCCACAUCCAGCUUGCCCCUAAAGUGAUUGCCUAAAACUAUUCAAGCUCUGUGACCAGUAAUUUCCUCUAAAAUGACCUCAGUUCUUCAUCAGUGAAAAUAAUGCAUUGGGUUAUAUUUUUUCUUCUCUAUUUCUUUCCAUAUCUCACUAGAGCUUAUCCUUUUUAAAAGCAUACACUGAAAUUAUUUUAAUUAUAAUAUGUAUAUAUAUAUAAAGAUUUAACAGAUUCCAUGCAUCCACCAGUUAAAUUGAACAGAUGUUAAUUUAUUUGCUCAUAUUUAUUCUGGGUCUUUUAUAUUUCAGUCACAAACCAAUUUCGAAAACGUUAAAACAUGAGAAAAUGGGCCUCUUAAGAUGAAAAAGUUAUAAGACGUUAAGGAGGAAAUCAAAUACACAUUAAUAAGUGAUUAUGAAAAUGAGACUAUUACAUAUGAAAACCUAUGGGAAGAGUACCAAAUUUCCACGAGAAAAAACAAAACCCUAAAUGUUCACUACUGUCAUGAGCUAUGCAGAUUUGGAGGUAGACUCUUCAGAAGCAAGCUCAUUUACCAUCUUAUCUGGAGAGCAGCCAUUGUUGCUGGAGGGCUUUUGUUUUGCUGAGUGAUCUGUACUUCAGUUAGCACUGAAGUACUCGGAAUAAUAGAGAUGACCCUGUUUGUAGUCAGCCAACCACAGACUUCUCUAUCUUUCCCCUGCAGUGUUCAGACUCCACAUAAACACAUGUAAAAUAAAUGUUUAAAGAAUAUUAUUUCUGAAAGCUGACAAAUUAGCAGUCUCCACAUGUUUUGGUCUGGCUUUAUAUCUAUCAUUGAGGUUAUAGGCCACACUCCAGAACACACUUGAAGUUGACAAUAAAGGACUCAGGAGAGACCACCCAGUUCAUGUUGGGGUUCCAUUUUCCAACAGGCUCGGAUGGGCAGAGGAAAGUUAACAUCUCCAAAGGAGGGUCUCCAAGUCUAUUCCAGGAUUGGGGCUGUGGGAACCUCCUGGCCUGUGCUGUUUUUCAAAUAGGAGGCCUUGACUAUGUACUUACUAACUUUGACUACUGAAAGGUCUGAAAAGGAGAUAAACUAUUUUUCAUUGCCUUUAGUAAACAGAAGUGGUUCAGUUGUAAGGUACUGGGCCUGAUUGGUUCUCCUGAAGAUACAAAGUCUCCCCAGAUAACACUGACACAUGAGCAGUACUUCCAACAGCCACCUUCUCUUAGCCUGUCUAGG